This is a non-coding RNA of Orcinus orca (killer whale), 992 nucleotides long. NCBI's taxonomy places the organism in Eukaryota, Metazoa, Chordata, Mammalia, Artiodactyla, Delphinidae. The record is from the annotation of a RefSeq genome assembly.
GCAGCCCAGCCCCACUGUGGGGACCGGGGGGCUGUGAGCACCAUGGCCUGGACUCCUCUCCUGCUCGUGUUCCUCUCUCUCUGCACAGGGUGCCUCUCCCAGCCUGUGCUGACUCAGCCUCCCUCCCUCUCUGCAUCUCCUGGAGCAUCAGCCAGACUCACCUGCACCCUGAGCAGUGGGUACAUUGUUGGUGGCUACCACAUAGUCUGGUACCAGCAGAAGCCAGGGAGCUCUCCCCGGUACCUCCUGAGGUUCAAGUCAGACUCUGAUAAGCACCAGGGCUCCGGGGUCCCCAGCCGCUUCUCUGGAUCCAAAGAUGCCUCGGCCAACUCAGGGCUCCUGCUCAUCUCUGCGCUGCAGCCCGAGGACGAGGCUGACUAUUACUGUGCUACAGUUCACGGCAACACUGGUACUUACACUGUGCUCCAGACCCACAGGGAAGUGAGACUAAAAGCUCCCCUGUGCCCUCCCCCUGAGACAGUCACUGCUGCUCUGCCUGGACCACGUCUAACUCAGGGUGACCUUCUGUUGUCACUUCUGAAUUUCCUGAGAAUGACAAAUCUGACCCUGUCAUAUGCUUUUCCUCCCCUCAAAUCUGAGACUGACCCAUUGCUCUGAUACCUCAGCCGGCUCAUGUUUUCACAGACAAAACUUCCAUGCUCAGAGAUAAAAAUCUCCAAGUGGGGACUUCCCUGGUGGUGCAGUGGUUGAGAAUCUGCCUGCCAAUGCAGGGGACACGGGUUUGAGCCCUGUUCUUGGUAGAUCCCACAUGCCAUGGAGCAACUAAGCCCGUGCGCCACAACUAUUGAGCCUGUGCUUUAGAGCCUGUGAGCCACAACUACUGAGCCCACGGGCCACAACUACUGAGGCCCACGUGCCUAGAGCCCAUGCUCUGCAACAAGAGAAGCCACCGCAAUGAGAAGCCCGUGCACCGCAAUGAAGAGUAGCCCCCGCUUGCCACAACUAGAGAAAGCCCACGCACAGCAACGAAG